UACGUAGGGUGCAAGCGUUAAUCGGAAUUACUGGGCGUAAAGCGUGCGCAGGCGGCUUUGCAAGACAGAUGUGAAAUCCCCGGGCUUAACCUGGGAACUGCAUUUGUGACUGCAUAGCUAGAGUGCGGCAGAGGGAGAUGGAAUUCCGCGUGUAGCAGUGAAAUGCGUAGAUAUGCGGAGGAACACCGAUGGCGAAGGCAAUCUCCUGGGCCUGCACUGACGCUCAUGCACGAAAGCGUGGGGAGCAAACAGG
Molecule: ribosomal RNA, 253 nt
Filed under: uncultured bacterium
Lineage: Bacteria
Description: partial 16S ribosomal RNA
Rfam family: Bacterial small subunit ribosomal RNA
Source: RNAcentral